CAUAUGGUAUACAAACGGGAGGCAGCAGUGGGGAAUAUUGCGCAAUGGGCGAAUGCCUGACGCAGCGACGCCGCGUGUGGGAUGAAGGUCUUCGGAUCGUAAACCACUGUCAGAGGGGACGAAGGCCCGACGUUAACUGCGAUCGGGAUUGACGGUACCCUCGGAGGAAGCACCGGCUAACUCUGUGCCAGCAGCCGCGGUAAUACAGAGGGUGCGAGCGUUGUCCGGAAUCACUGGGCGUAAAGGGCGUGUAGGCGGCUGGCUAAGCCGCGUGUGAAAGCCCGGGGCUCAACCCCGGAACGGCACGCGGGACUGGUCGGCUCGAGAGUGGUAGAGGCGAGCGGAAUUCCUGGUGUAGCGGUGGAAUGCGUAGAGAUCAGGAAGCCCGUGGGAGCGGCCGCGGGACCAAGAUCUGACGCUGAGGCCGCACAAGCGGUGGGAGCAARUAGAUUAAAUACUCUGAUGCAACGCGAACGAACCUUACCUGGGCUUGACAUGUACGUGAAGGUUCGUGGAAACACGGGCCGUCCUUCGGGACGCGUACACAGGUGCUGCAUGGCUGCCGUCAGCUCGUGUCGUGAGAUGUUGGGUUAAGUCCCGCAACGAGCGCAACCCUCGCUCCCAGUUGCCAGCGAGUCAUGUCGGGGACUCUGGGGGGACUGCCGGUGCCAAACCGGAGGAAGGUGGGGACGACGUCAAGUCAUCAUGGCCCUUACGUCCAGGGCGACACACGUGCUACAAUGGCCGGUACAGAGCGUCGCAAAGCCGCGAGGUGGAGCCAAUCGCUAAAAGCCGGUCUAAGUGCGGAUCGGAGUCUGCAACUCGACUCCGUGAAGUCGGAAUCGCUAGCUAUUUACGUGUGUCAGCCACACCACGGUGAAUACGUCCCGGGCCUGUACAC
RNAcentral lists this ribosomal RNA (901 nucleotides) under uncultured bacterium. RNAcentral's name for it is "bacterial SSU rRNA". It matches the Rfam family "Bacterial small subunit ribosomal RNA", at positions 327 to 1390 of the family's 1533-position model. The record is from RNAcentral.